AUGGAGAUAAGCCACACUGGCACAUGCAGCUUCGGCUGUGUGCUGCGCAGCUUUGGCCAGCGAUCACCAAAUAAAGUAAAUGGGUUCGCCCGCGCGAUUUUCAAAGAAAGGAAAAUUCCCCCGUGGUGUCACGGAAAGGUACGGGUGGCAACCACAGCUUCAAUCCUCUCCUUUUUUCGCAACCUCCAAACGUCAAAGGCAGCUGAGAAGAUGGGAUUGCUGAAGAAACAGGAAUGUGAAGUUACUAGCCCAAAGCUGUAUAGCAGGCCAGUAGCAAACCCAGGAAUGGAAGCCAAGUCUCCUAAGCUGCAGUCUGAGCUCUAAUUAAGAAGAAAUUUUGCCCUCUGAUGUUGCAAUGGG
Molecule: long non-coding RNA, 360 nt
Filed under: Struthio camelus australis
Lineage: Eukaryota; Metazoa; Chordata; Aves; Struthioniformes; Struthionidae
Description: lncRNA (ENSSCUG00000010380.1)
Source: RNAcentral